Molecule: long non-coding RNA, 429 nt
Organism: Delphinapterus leucas (beluga whale)
Lineage: Eukaryota; Metazoa; Chordata; Mammalia; Artiodactyla; Monodontidae
Source: RefSeq, a predicted model, not a curated record
CCCAGGCAGUGAAAGCACCAAGUCCUAACCACUGGACCGCCAGGGAGUUCCCUCAGAGGCUUCGGUUUCUCAUCAAAGGGGGAGAUGGCGAGCCUGUGUCCAAGCCCAUCCCCACGACCCAUCCUCCCGCCCCUGCCCCAGAGGUCGGAGCCCUACCCUGCUGGGCGUCAGCCGGCGACAGGAGCAGGGUGCUGAGCAGAAGGGUCUCCAGGGUCCCCAUGGCACGGAGGAUCCAGCCAGUCCAGGUUGCCAAGGGCUUGGUGGAGGCCAGGUGGAGUUAGGCUCUGGGACUAUGGGGGAAACCAGAGUGUGGAAAUAAAUCAGUGUCCAGGGCUUCACUGGUGGCACAGUGGUCAAGAAUCCGCCUGCCCAUGCAGAGGACAUGGGUUCGAGCCCUGGUCCGGGAAGAUCCCACAUGCCACGGAGCAA